CAGUAUCUCUCUGGGAUGGUCUGGUGUUGAAUAGCUAGGCUCUGUCAGGUCAUAGUUCAUCAGUAUCUCUCUGGGAUGGUCUGGUGUUGAAUAGCUAGGCUCUGUCAGGUCAUAGUUCAUCAGUAUCUCUCUGGGAUGGUCUGGUGUUGAAUAGCUCGGCUCUGUCAGGUCAUAGUUCAUCAGUAUCUCUCUCUGGGAUGGUCUGGUGUUGAAUAGCUAGGCUCUGUCAGGUCAUAGUUCAUCAGUAUCUCUCUCUGGGAUGGUCUGGUGUUGAAUAGCUAGGCUCUGUCAGGUCAUAGUUCAUCAGUAUCUCUCUCUGGGAUGGUCUGGUGUUGAAUAGCUAGGCUCUGUCAGGUCAUAGUUCAUCAGUAUCUCUCUGGGAUGGUCUGGUGUUGAAUAGCUAGGCUCUGUCAGGUCAUAGUUCAUCAGUAUCUCUCUCUGGGAUGGUCUGGUGUUGAAUAGCUAGGCUCUGUCAGGUCAUAGUUCAUCAGUAUCUCUCUCUGGGAUGGUCUGGUGUUGAAUAGCUAGGCUCUGUCAGGUCAUAGUUCAUCAAUAU
This is a long non-coding RNA of Oncorhynchus keta (chum salmon), 556 nucleotides long. RefSeq lists it as uncharacterized. The record is from RefSeq and is a predicted model, not a curated record. NCBI's taxonomy places the organism in Eukaryota, Metazoa, Chordata, Actinopteri, Salmoniformes, Salmonidae. The transcript has 5 exons.